AUUGCCCCAGUAACGGCGAGUGAAGCGGCAAGAGCUCAAAUUUGAAAUCUGGCCUCCUCCGGGGGUCCGAGUUGUAAUUUGCAGAGGAUGCUUCGGGUGCGGCCCCCGUCUAAGUUCCUUGGAACAGGACGUCAGAGAGGGUGAGAAUCCCGUCUUGGGCGGGCGGCCCGCGCCCGUGUGAAGCUCCUUCGACGAGUCGAGUUGUUUGGGAAUGCAGCUCUAAGCGGGUGGUAAAUUUCAUCUAAAGCUAAAUAUUGGCCGGAGACCGAUAGCGCACAAGUAGAGUGAUCGAAAGGUUAAAAGCACCUUGAAAAGGGAGUUAAACAGCACGUGAAAUUGUUGAAAGGGAAGCGCUUGCGGCCAGACUCGGGGGCGGGGUUCAGCGGGCGCUCGUCGCCCGUGCACUCCCCGCGCCCCGGGCCAGCAUCAGUUUCGACGGUCGGUCAAAGGCCCCCGGAAUGUGUCGUCUCUAGGGACGUCUUAUAGCCGGGGGUGCAAUGCGGCCCGUCGGGACUGAGGAACGCGCUUCGGCUCGGAUGCUGGCGUAAUGGCCGUAAGCGGCCCGUCUUGAAACACGGACCAAGGAGUCUAACAUCCACGCGAGUGUUCGGGUGUCAAACCCGUGCGCGCAGUGAAAGCGAACGGAGGUGGGAGCCUUUGGGCGCACCAUCGACCGAUCCUGAAGUCUUCGGAUGGAUUUGAGUAGGAGCGUGGCCGUUGGGACCCGAAAGAUGGUGAACUAUGCCUGAAUAGGGUGAAGCCAGAGGAAACUCUGGUGGAGGCUCGCAGCGGUUCUGACGUGCAAAUCGAUCGUCAAAUUUGGGCAUAGGGGCGAAAGACUAAUCGAACCAUCUAGUAGCUGGUUCCUGCCGAAGU
Molecule: ribosomal RNA, 876 nt
Filed under: Trichophyton mentagrophytes
Lineage: Eukaryota; Fungi; Ascomycota; Eurotiomycetes; Onygenales; Arthrodermataceae
Description: LSU rRNA
Rfam family: Eukaryotic large subunit ribosomal RNA
Source: RNAcentral